This 456-nucleotide ribosomal RNA is filed under the name uncultured Rhodoferax sp. Its description in RNAcentral is "bacterial SSU rRNA". It matches the Rfam family "Bacterial small subunit ribosomal RNA", at positions 924 to 1382 of the family's 1533-position model. The record is from RNAcentral. Lineage: Bacteria; Pseudomonadati; Pseudomonadota; Betaproteobacteria; Burkholderiales; Comamonadaceae.
CACAAGCGGUGGAUGAUGUGGUUUAAUUCGAUGCAACGCGAAAACCUUACCACCUUUGACAUGUACGGAACCCUUUAGAGAUAGAGGGGUGCUCGAAAGAGAGCCGUAACACAGGUGCUGCAUGGCUGUCGUCAGCUCGUGUCGUGAGAUGUUGGGUUAAGUCCCGCAACGAGCGCAACCCUUGUCAUUAGUUGCUACAUUCAGUUGGGCACUCUAAUGAGACUGCCGGUGACAAGCCGGAGGAAGGUGGGGAUGACGUCAAGUCCUCAUGGCCCUUAUAGGUGGGGCUACACACGUCAUACAAUGGCUGGUACAAAGGGUUGCCAACCCGCGAGGGGGAGCCAAUCCCAUAAAGCCAGUCGUAGUCCGGAUCGUAGUCUGCAACUCGACUACGUGAAGUCGGAAUCGCUAGUAAUCGUGGAUCAGAAUGUCACGGUGAAUACGUUCCCGGGUCUU